Molecule: long non-coding RNA, 1415 nt
Filed under: Toxoplasma gondii VEG
Lineage: Eukaryota; Apicomplexa; Conoidasida; Eucoccidiorida; Sarcocystidae
Source: RNAcentral
AAAGCGCAUUCCCGAAUUCGCUGACUCAGCCUUCCUGCCGGAUCCAGAUGUGGCACUAACCAGGCGGAUGGUAGCCCUACUCGGCUACCAGUGGGACGGGGUCUUCUACAAAAUGGUGCUCUCUUGUCACAUUGUGGAACUCAAAGACCUGUAGGGCUGACUAUCUAAAUGAACUGCGGCGUCGAUUCAUGUUGACAUCGUCUUGACCUGUCUAUAAGGAGAGUAUAGGUAUCUGCAGAAUCUUGGGGAUUUCUCGUGUAUUUACGUCGAGUUCGCACACGGGACAACGAGGUGUCGUGGCGCGACUGUUACGCUACCAGUUAGAUCAAGUAUCCUGAAGAGUGCCGUCCUGACACCGAAUUGUUUGGGAAUUUUGCGCUCCAAUCUACGAAAGGUAAUAGCAGGAUGACAAAGGCGCCAGUCCUGAAGUAGUGGUGUUUUUAGGGAGUCAACUCCCGGAAACCGAAACCGCCCUUUCCUGGAUGGUGUCAUCCCCCGCCGGAGGGAUUUCCAACGUAUGCCGGAAAAGCAAAACGCUGUUGAUGCACAAAUGAAUGGCCUUUUAAUCCAGAACACUGCGUGUUUCUGUUUUUAGUUUUUCUUAUUUCCACGUUGUUAGGUUCAGCAUUGGUCCCGCUUGCCCCUGCCACAAUGAGCAAUGCGUGGUCAUACGAGUGCACAGUGUUUUCCGUAGUAGUUUCUUCUACUGCAAGUCUUUUGUGGCAUGUUCACACUUGCCCAAUCCUCUGGAGCAAACAAAUCCGCGAAGCCAAGGUGCGGCGUUUGCGUAACGAACUAGGCGCGUGUCUAGGUGCCACUGAAUGGCGUAGCUGCGCUUGGCACGACUAAAAUUGGGGUGUUCUGGGUUGCAGGGCUCUGCCUCUGCGGGUUGCCUCCUUUUUGGAAAAUGUGCUCAUCGAAAACAUAUCACUGUUAUCUGGGUGCCUAUUGUCUGUCGCAGAGAGGGUGAGGCACAUUUUCUCCCCGUUUCGUGCGAACUAGCACGUGGGCCGUCUUUUCUCGGGAACGCACUUCUGUCGACGACGCCACGAAAGCGCAACCAGGCGCACAGAAGCACUCGAGAUAAAACCGAGAAGACCGCCACGAGCGAACGUGAAACAGCGUAUGAUUAUCCGGGAAUGUACACAUGUCUCUGCAUGGUUGUUGCACGGGCACUGGAAUAGCGUUUCUGUUGAGUCCAUCGCGAUGUUAGACUGACCGCGUCAACACUGCUCAUCUGAAUGGCUCCAAUUCUGCUUCCUCUUCCUCAGUGGGCCGCUUAUGUUUGGGUCUUUUGACAUCCACGUUUUUCGAUGUAGCGGGAGAAUUUCAAGAUCGGCUGAGAGUUUCAGCUCGAAUGCAGUGCCGCAUCCGUUAAGCCUGUAUUGGCGGUGAAACUUCCGUUAGACUGUUGC